RNAcentral lists this transfer RNA (80 nucleotides) under Sphaerodactylus townsendi. RNAcentral's name for it is "tRNA-Ala". It matches the Rfam family "tRNA". From Rfam's summary of the family: Transfer RNA (tRNA) molecules are approximately 80 nucleotides in length. Their secondary structure includes four short double-helical elements and three loops (D, anti-codon, and T loops). The record is from RNAcentral. Lineage: Eukaryota; Metazoa; Chordata; Lepidosauria; Squamata; Sphaerodactylidae.
GGAGUUGUGGCUGAGUUGUAUAGUAGUAUAGUAUCUGGUUUGCAUGCAGAAGGACCCAGGUUCAAUUCCUGCCACCUCCA